RNAcentral lists this ribosomal RNA (470 nucleotides) under uncultured bacterium. RNAcentral describes it as "bacterial SSU rRNA". It matches the Rfam family "Bacterial small subunit ribosomal RNA", at positions 28 to 478 of the family's 1533-position model. The record is from RNAcentral.
AAUGAACGCUGGCGGCGUGCUUAACACAUGCAAGUCGUGCGCGAAGGCGGCUUCGGCUGCCGGAGAGCGGCGAACGGGUGAGUAACACGUGGGUGAUCUGCCUGGGAGCGGGGGAUAACCUGGGGAAACUCGGGCUGAUACCGCAUACGUUGGCGGGGUUGCGGUCCCGUCAAGAAAGCUGGCCUCUGCUUGCAAGCUAGCGCUCCCAGAGGAGCCCGCGGCUGAUUAGCUAGUUGGUGGGGUAAAGGCCCACCAAGGCGACGAUCAGUAGCCGGCCUGAGAGGGUGAUCGGCCACACUGGGACUGAGACACGGCCCAGACUCCUACGGGAGGCAGCAGUGGGGAAUAUUGGACAAUGGGCGCAAGCCUGAUCCAGCAACGCCGCGUGGAGGACGAAGGUCUUCGGAUCGUAAACUCCUGUCAGACGGGACGAACGGCCGCGGGUGAACAAUCCGCGGCCUUGACGGUAC